This 482-nucleotide ribosomal RNA is filed under the name uncultured bacterium. RNAcentral's name for it is "partial 16S ribosomal RNA". It matches the Rfam family "Bacterial small subunit ribosomal RNA", at positions 28 to 523 of the family's 1533-position model. The record is from RNAcentral.
GAUGAACGCUGGCGGCGUGCUUAACACAUGCAAGUCGAACGGUGAAGCCAAGCUUGCUUGGUGGAUCAGUGGCGAACGGGUGAGUAACACGUGAGCAACCUGCCCUGGACUCUGGGAUAAGCGCUGGAAACGGUGUCUAAUACUGGAUAUGAGCUCCUUCCGCAUGGUGGGGGUUGGAAAGAUUUUUCGGUCUGGGAUGGGCUCGCGGCCUAUCAGCUUGGUGGUGAGGUAAUGGCUCACCAAGGCGUCGACGGGUAGCCGGCCUGAGAGGGUGACCGGCCACACUGGGACUGAGACACGGCCCAGACUCCUACGGGAGGCAGCAGUGGGGAAUAUUGCACAAUGGGCGGAAGCCUGAUGCAGCAACGCCGCGUGAGGGAUGACGGCCUUCGGGUUGUAAACCUCUUUUAGCAGGGAAGAAGCUUUUGUGACGGUACCUGCAAAAAAAGCGCCGGCUAACUACGUGCCAGCCGCCGCAGUAA